This 465-nucleotide ribosomal RNA is filed under the name uncultured bacterium. RNAcentral describes it as "partial 16S ribosomal RNA". It matches the Rfam family "Bacterial small subunit ribosomal RNA", at positions 28 to 507 of the family's 1533-position model. The record is from RNAcentral.
GACGAACGCUGGCGGCGUGCUUAACACAUGCAAGUCGAACGGAAAGGCCCCUUUGGGGGUACUCGAGUGGCGAACGGGUGAGUAACACGUGAGUAACCUGCCCUUGACUUCGGGAUAACUUCAGGAAACUGGGGCUAAUACCGGAUAGGAAUCCUUGCUGCAUGGUGGGGGUUGGAAAGCUUCGGCGGUUUUGGAUGGACUCGCGGCUUAUCAGCUUGUUGGUGGGGUAGUGGCUUACCAAGGCUUUGACGGGUAGCCGGCCUGAGAGGGCGACCGGCCACAUUGGGACUGAGAUACGGCCCAGACUCCUACGGGAGGCAGCAGUGGGGAAUAUUGCACAAUGGGCGGAAGCCUGAUGCAGCAACGCCGCGUGCGGGAUGACGGCCUUCGGGUUGUAAACCGCGUUCAGCAGAGGCGAAGCUUGUGGUGACGGUACCUGCAGAAGAAGCACCGGCUAACUACGUG